AGCUCCAAGAGCGUAUAUUAAAGUUGUUGCAGUUAAAAAGCUCGUAGUUGGAUUUCUGGUAUUACGCGCCUGGCCCGCUUUUAGUGAGUGCCGGUGCGCGUUUGCCAUCCUUCUAGAAAACGUUUCUACCCGGGCAACUGGGCCGGACUCGCGAUCUAGAUCUUUUACUUUGAAAAAAUUAGAGUGUUUAAAGCAGGCUUUUGCUGUGAAUACAUUAGCAUGGAAUAAUAAUCUAGGACUUCGGUUCUAUUUUGUUGGUUUCUAGUACUGAAGUAAUGAUUGAUAGGGAUAGUUGGGGGUGCUAGUAUUGGCCGGCCAGAGGUGAAAUUCUUGGAUUCGGUCAAGACUAACUUAUGCGAAAGCAUUCACCAAGGAUGUCUUCUUUA
This 386-nucleotide ribosomal RNA is filed under the name Cryothecomonas sp. Its description in RNAcentral is "partial small subunit ribosomal RNA". It matches the Rfam family "Eukaryotic small subunit ribosomal RNA", at positions 587 to 975 of the family's 1831-position model. The record is from RNAcentral. Lineage: Eukaryota; Cercozoa; Thecofilosea; Cryomonadida; Protaspidae.